RNAcentral lists this long non-coding RNA (228 nucleotides) under Elaeis guineensis (African oil palm). RNAcentral's name for it is "long non-coding RNA (EGUI_LNC038305)". Lineage: Eukaryota; Viridiplantae; Streptophyta; Magnoliopsida; Arecales; Arecaceae. The record is from RNAcentral.
GGGACCAAGAGUGUGCAGUUAAAUCCAGUAGUCUCACUGCGAAUAGCCAAUGACACCGCAGAUCAAAGGACUACUCACAUCACUGCCGCAUCAAGAAGACCACGAUGAGUGAGUAGACAUCCAUAUGGUUCUCGUGUUGGUCAUGCUCAGUGCAAGUUGUUCUCUAAUAACCAUCCACACCCUCAUUCUAGUGUCUCUACACUGCAAAUUCGAGACUCAUCUGCCCAC